CAAUAGCGUAUAUUAAAGUUGUUGCAGUUAAAAAGCUCGUAGUUGGAUUUCGGUUAAGAGCGACCGGUCCGCCGUUUGGUGUGCACUGGUUGGUUUUAACUUCCUGUAGAGGACGUGCUCUGGGUUUAACGACCUGGACUCGGAGUCUACGUGGUUACUUUGAAAAAAUUAGAGUGUUCAAAGCGGGCUUACGCUUGAAUAUUUCAGCAUGGAAUAACACUAUAGGACUCCUGUCCUAUUUCGUUGGUCUCGGGACGGGAGUAAUGAUUAAGAGGAACAGUUGGGGGCAUUCGUAUUUCAUUGUCAGAGGUGAAAUUCUUGGAUUUAUGAAAGACGAACUUCUGCGAAAGCAUUUGCCAAGGAUGUUUNCAUUA
RNAcentral lists this ribosomal RNA (374 nucleotides) under uncultured eukaryote. RNAcentral's name for it is "partial 18S ribosomal RNA". It matches the Rfam family "Eukaryotic small subunit ribosomal RNA", at positions 592 to 975 of the family's 1831-position model. The record is from RNAcentral.